GGGCGCACGAAAAAGGAGCUUUUCCCUUUAUUAACAGAAGCUUGCGUAUUUUUCGUGGUCACCUUGACAUGGUGGGGGUCGUUGGUUCGAGUCCAAUCGCGCCUACCA
Molecule: transfer RNA, 108 nt
Filed under: Pseudomonas allii
Lineage: Bacteria; Pseudomonadati; Pseudomonadota; Gammaproteobacteria; Pseudomonadales; Pseudomonadaceae
Description: tRNA-OTHER
Source: RNAcentral